This 1314-nucleotide ribosomal RNA is filed under the name Bacillus licheniformis. Its description in RNAcentral is "bacterial SSU rRNA". It matches the Rfam family "Bacterial small subunit ribosomal RNA", at positions 57 to 1353 of the family's 1533-position model. The record is from RNAcentral. Lineage: Bacteria; Bacillati; Bacillota; Bacilli; Caryophanales; Bacillaceae.
GCAAGUCGAGCGGACAGAUGGGAGCUUGCUCCCUGAUGUUAGCGGCGGACGGGUGAGUAACACGUGGGUAACCUGCCUGUAAGACUGGGAUAACUCCGGGAAACCGGGGCUAAUACCGGAUGCUUGAUUGAACCGCAUGGUUCAAUUAUAAAAGGUGGCUUUUAGCUACCACUUACAGAUGGACCCGCGGCGCAUUAGCUAGUUGGUGAGGUAACGGCUCACCAAGGCAACGAUGCGUAGCCGACCUGAGAGGGUGAUCGGCCACACUGGGACUGAGACACGGCCCAGACUCCUACGGGAGGCAGCAGUAGGGAAUCUUCCGCAAUGGACGAAAGUCUGACGGAGCAACGCCGCGUGAGUGAUGAAGGUUUUCGGAUCGUAAAACUCUGUUGUUAGGGAAGAACAAGUACCGUUCGAAUAGGGCGGUACCUUGACGGUACCUAACCAGAAAGCCACGGCUAACUACGUGCCAGCAGCCGCGGUAAUACGUAGGUGGCAAGCGUUGUCCGGAAUUAUUGGGCGUAAAGCGCGCGCAGGCGGUUUCUUAAGUCUGAUGUGAAAGCCCCCGGCUCAACCGGGGAGGGUCAUUGGAAACUGGGGAACUUGAGUGCAGAAGAGGAGAGUGGAAUUCCACGUGUAGCGGUGAAAUGCGUAGAGAUGUGGAGGAACACCAGUGGCGAAGGCGACUCUCUGGUCUGUAACUGACGCUGAGGCGCGAAAGCGUGGGGAGCGAACAGGAUUAGAUACCCUGGUAGUCCACGCCGUAAACGAUGAGUGCUAAGUGUUAGAGGGUUUCCGCCCUUUAGUGCUGCAGCAAACGCAUUAAGCACUCCGCCUGGGGAGUACGGUCGCAAGACUGAAACUCAAAGGAAUUGACGGGGGCCCGCACAAGCGGUGGAGCAUGUGGUUUAAUUCGAAGCAACGCGAAGAACCUUACCAGGUCUUGACAUCCUCUGACAACCCUAGAGAUAGGGCUUCCCCUUCGGGGGCAGAGUGACAGGUGGUGCAUGGUUGUCGUCAGCUCGUGUCGUGAGAUGUUGGGUUAAGUCCCGCAACGAGCGCAACCCUUGAUCUUAGUUGCCAGCAUUCAGUUGGGCACUCUAAGGUGACUGCCGGUGACAAACCGGAGGAAGGUGGGGAUGACGUCAAAUCAUCAUGCCCCUUAUGACCUGGGCUACACACGUGCUACAAUGGGCAGAACAAAGGGCAGCGAAGCCGCGAGGCUAAGCCAAUCCCACAAAUCUGUUCUCAGUUCGGAUCGCAGUCUGCAACUCGACUGCGUGAAGCUGGAAUCGCUAGUAAUCGCGGAUCAGC